RNAcentral lists this long non-coding RNA (1005 nucleotides) under Oncorhynchus kisutch (coho salmon). RNAcentral describes it as "lncRNA (ENSOKIG00005024450.1)". Lineage: Eukaryota; Metazoa; Chordata; Actinopteri; Salmoniformes; Salmonidae. The record is from RNAcentral.
AUGUAUUUGUACAGUAUAUGUACCUGUAUGUAUUUGUACAGUAUGUGUACCUGUAUGUAUUUGAGCAGUAUGUGUACCUGUAUGUAUUUGUACCUGUAUGUAUUUGAGCAGUAUGUGUACCUGUAUGUAUUUGAGCAGUUUGUGUACCUGUAUGUAUUUGUACAGUAUGUGUACCUGUAUGUAUUUGAGCAGUUUGUGUACCUGUAUGUAUUUGUACAGUAUGUGUACCUGUAUGUAUUUGAGCAGUUUGUGUACCUGUAUGUAUUUGUACAGUAUGUGUACCUGUAUGUAUUUGUACAGUAUGUGUACCUGUAUGUAUUUGUACAGUAUGUGUACCUGUAUGUAUUUGAGCAGUUUGUGUACCUGUAUGUAUUUGUACAGUAUGUGUACCUGUAUGUAUUUGUACAGUAUGUGUACCUGUAUGUAUUUGUACAGUAUGUGUACCUGUAUGUAUUUGUACAGUAUGUGUACCUGUAUGUAUUUGAGCAGUUUGUGUACCUGUAUGUAUUUGUACAGUAUGUGUACCUGUAUGUAUUUGUACAGUAUGUGUACCUGUAUGUAUUUGUACAGUAUGUGUACCUGUAUGUAUUUGUACAGUAUGUGUACCUGUAUGUAUUUGUACAGUAUGUGUACCUGUAUGUAUUUGUACAGUAUGUGUACCUGUAUGUAUUUGUACAGUAUGUGUACCUGUAUGUAUUUGUACAGUAUGUGUACCUGUAUGUAUUUGUACAGUAUGUGUACCUGUAUGUAUUUGUACAGUAUGUGUACCUGUAUGUAUUUGUACAGUAUGUGUACCUGUAUGUAUUUGUACAGUAUAUGUACCUGUAUGUAUUUGUACAGUAUGUGUACCUGUAUGUAUUUGUACAGUAUGUGUACCUGUAUGUAUUUGUACAGUAUGUGUACCUGUAUGUAUUUGUACAGUAUGUGUACCUGUAUGUAUUUGUACAGUAUGUGUACCUGUAUGUAUUUGUACAUGUGUUUGCUAAUUACACAUUUAAUUGUUAA